RNAcentral lists this ribosomal RNA (450 nucleotides) under uncultured bacterium. RNAcentral's name for it is "partial 16S ribosomal RNA". It matches the Rfam family "Bacterial small subunit ribosomal RNA", at positions 338 to 795 of the family's 1533-position model. The record is from RNAcentral.
CCUACGGGCGGCUGCAGUAAGGAAUAUUGGUCAAUGGACGCAAGUCUGAACCAGCCAUGCCGCGUGGAGGAUGAAGGUCCUCUGGAUUGUAAACUUCUUUUAUUUGGGAAGAAACUCCCGAUUUCCAUCGGGAUUGACGGUACCAGAUGAAUAAGCACCGGCUAACUCCGUGCCAGCAGCCGCGGUAAUACGGAGGGUGCAAGCGUUAUCCGGAUUCACGGGUGCGUAGGGGGGCAGAGAAGGCAGUGUUGAACGCUCCGGGCUUAACCCGGAAACUGCCAUUGAUACUAUGUGUCUUGAAUACUCUGGAGGUGAGCGGAAUAUGUCAUGUAGCGGUGAAAUGCUUAGAUAUGACAUAGAACACCCAUUGCGAAGGCAGCUCACUACGGAAAUAUUGACGCUGAGGCACGAAAGCGUGGGGAUCAAACAGGAUUAGAUACCCUUGUAGUC